CCAGAGAGUGGAGCUGAGGAACAUGGUGGUGGACCAGAGAAGGGAGCUGAGGAACAUGGUGGUGAACCAGAGAGUGGAGCUGAGGAACAUGGUGGUGGACCAGAGAGUGGAGCUGAGGAACAUGGUGGUGGAACUGAGAGAGGAGCUGAGGAACAUGGUGGUGGAGCUAAGAGAGGAGCUGAGGAACAUGGUGGUGGACCAGAGUGGAGCUGAGGAACAUGGUGGUGGAACAGCGAGUGGAAUUGAGGAACAUGGUGGUGGAACAGAGAGAGGAGCUGAGGAACAUGGUGGUGGGCCAGAGAGUGGAGCUGAGGAACAUUGGUGGUGGAGCUGAGGAUCACUAAGACUGAACUGCAGUUCUACAAGAACAAGGUGGAGGAACUGGAGAGAGAGAACACAGGAUUGCAGGACAGAGUGAGAGCCAGGUAGAUGAGCUGAAGACAGAAUGCAGGUGUCUUCAGUGCUCCAGUGAGAGGAGUACAUAGACUUUGGUUUGUUCAAGAAUGACCAGGGUGUAAUAUGGAAUGGACAGUACAAUAGUCACGGAAGGUGACAGUAUAUCUCCAAUUCUGGGACGCUAGAACUGGAGGAGGGGGCCUUGGUCUACAUGCGUAUUCCAUCAGGCUAAAGGAUCUACGAUGAUUCUAAUAAACACAGCUCCUUCAGUGACUUCCUGCUCUUUUCUAUGUGAGAUGAACACCACAAAAGUUGAAAUAAAAAGUCCAAUCUGUUCUUAUAACAUUCCAUGAAACAUUAUGACGGUAAAAUAAAAU
Long non-coding RNA from Oncorhynchus tshawytscha (Chinook salmon), 773 nucleotides. NCBI's taxonomy places the organism in Eukaryota, Metazoa, Chordata, Actinopteri, Salmoniformes, Salmonidae. The record is from Ensembl.